Molecule: ribosomal RNA, 240 nt
Filed under: uncultured bacterium
Lineage: Bacteria
Description: partial 16S ribosomal RNA
Rfam family: Bacterial small subunit ribosomal RNA
Source: RNAcentral
CGAACGGGUGAGGAUCACGUGAGAAACCUGCCCCAGACUUUGGGAUAACAGUUGGAAACGACUGCUAAUACCGAAUGACGUCGGAGAACCGCAUGGUUCACUGACGAAAGGAAAUCCGGUUUGGGAGGGUCUCGCGGCCUAUCAGCUUGUUGGUGGGGUAAUGGCCUACCAAGGCAACGAUCCAUAACUGGUCUGAGAGGACGGCCAGUCACACUGGGACUGAGACACGGCCCAGACUCC